GAAAUGCGAUAAGUAAUGUGAAUUGCAGAAUUCAGUGAAUCAUCGAAUCUUUGAACGCACAUUGCGCUCCUUGGUAUUCCUUGGAGCAUGCCUGUUUGAGUAUCAUGAAAUCUUCAAAGUAAAUCUUUUGUUAACUCAAUUGGUUUCUACUUUGGUAUUGGAGGUCUUUGCAGCUUCACACCUGCUCCUCUUUGUUCAUUAGCUGGAUCUCAGUGUUAUGCUUGGUUCCACUCGGCGUGAUAAGUUAUCUAUCGCUGAGGACACUGUAAAAGGUGGCCAAGGUAAAUGCAGAUGAACCGCUUCUAAUAGUCCAUUGACUUGGACAAUACUUUUAUGAUCUGAUCUCAAAUCAGGUAGGACUACCCGCUGAACUUAAGC
This 378-nucleotide unclassified non-coding RNA is filed under the name plant metagenome. Its description in RNAcentral is "partial contains 5.8S ribosomal RNA, internal transcribed spacer 2, and large subunit ribosomal RNA". The stretch from base 1 to 105 matches the Rfam family "5.8S ribosomal RNA", at positions 50 to 154 of the family's 154-position model. The record is from RNAcentral.